RNAcentral lists this ribosomal RNA (245 nucleotides) under uncultured archaeon. RNAcentral describes it as "partial 16S ribosomal RNA". It matches the Rfam family "Archaeal small subunit ribosomal RNA", at positions 474 to 719 of the family's 1478-position model. The record is from RNAcentral.
UACCAGCCCCCUGAGUGGUAGGGACGAUUAUUUGGCCUAAAGCGUCCGUAGCCUGCUUGGUAAGUCUUUCGUCAAAUCUGACGAUUCAAUCGUUAGUUCGCGGAAGAUACUGCCAGGCUUGAGGACGGGAGAGGUCGACGGUAGUCCCAGGGUAGGGGUGAAAUCCUAUAAUCCUGGGAGGACCACCAGUGGCGAAGGCGGUCGACUAGAACGUGCCUGACGGUGAUGGACGAAAGCUGGGGGAG